UUAAAUUAGUAAGAGCGUACGGUGGAUGUCUUGGCAUAUAGAGCAGAAGAAGGACGCAGAUAACGGCGAAACGCCUCGGGGAGUCGUACACAGGCAACGAUCCGGGGGUAUCCGAAUGGGGAAACCCGAUAAAGUUGAAAAGCUUUAUCAUCCUUAAGCCAAUACAUAACUUAAGAGAAGGCAACCCAGGGAAUUGAAACAUCUUAGUACCUGGAGGAGAAGAAAAUAACAAUGAUUCCGAGAGUAGUGGCGAGCGAAAUCGGAGCAGCCCAAACCAGCAAAGAGCUGGGGUAGUAGGACCACAGAAAGUGAUUGAAAAGAGAUAGUCGAAUGGCAUUGAAAGGUCAGCCGCAGAAGGUGCAAGCCCUGUAGGCGAAAUCUCGAUUCACGCGAGUGGUAUCCUGAGUACGUCGGAGCACGUGAAACUCUGACGGAAUCAACCGGGACCAUCCGGUAAGGCUAAAUACUCCUAUAUGACCGAUAGUGAACCAGUACCAUGAGGGAAAGAUGAAAAGAACCGCGGGAGCGGAGUGAAAUAGAUCCUGAAACCGUAUGCUUACAAAAAGUCAGAGCACAUUAAGGUGUGAUGGCGUGCCUUUUGUAGAAUGAACCGGCGAGUUAUCUUUGCAUGCGAGGUUAAGCAGACAAUGCGGAGCCGUAGCGAAAGCGAAUCUUAAUAGGGUGGCAAGUAUGUAGAGAUAGACCCGAAGCCGUAGUGAUCUAGUCAUGAGCAGGUUGAAGGCUGGGUGAAUCCAGCUGGAGGACCGAACCGACCCCCGUUGAAAAGUUGGCGGAUGACUUGUGAUUAGCGGAGAAAUUCCAAUCGAACACGGCGAUAGCUGGUUCUCCCCGAAAUAGCUUUAGGGCUAGCGUUGAACGAAUCUACCCGGAGGUAGAGCACUGAAAUCAUGCGGGCGGCAUCUCGCCGUACCAAAUGAUAUCAAACUCCGAAUGCCGGGCAAGAAUAUUCAGCAGUCAGACUGUGGGUGAUAAGGUCCAUGGUCAAAAGGGAAACAGCCCAGAUCAUCAGAUAAGGUCCCAAAAUUUACGCUAAGUGGAAAAGGAUGUGGAGACGCGCAAACAGCUAGGAGGUUGGCUCAGAAGCAGCCAUCCUUCAAAGAGUGCGUAACAGCUCACUAGUCGAGUAUCUCUGCGCCGAAAAUUAACCGGGGCUAAGCGUAAUACCGAAUCUAUGGAUUUAUACUUAGGUAUAAGUGGUAGGGGAGCGUUCCAUACAGCAUUGAAGGUAUACCGUAAGGAGUGCUGGAGCGUAUGGAAGUGAGAAUGCCGGUGUGAGUAGCGAGAUGUGGGUGAGAAUCCCACACACCGAAAAACCAAGGUUUCCAGGGGAAGGUUCGUCCGCCCUGGGUAAGUCGGGACCUAAGGCCAGGCCGAAAGGCGUAGUCGAUGGACAGCAGGUUGAUAUUCCUGCACCCGCGAGUAAAGUGAUGGAGUGACAGAUAGGGUUAACCCAAGUCCUAAAUGGAUUGGGCAAGGCAAGCAGGAGAGUGGCGUAGGCAAAUCCGCGCCGGAUACUCAAAGGCUUGACUCAAGCGAACGCGCGAGCAAGUAGUGAAGAGGGUGAUACCAGGUCUCAAGAAAAGCUUCUAGCGAUAAUUUACUAGCGGCCCGUACCAAAACCGACACAGGUGGUUGAGGCGAGUAGCCUAAGGUGAGCGAGAGAACUGUUGCCAAGGAACUCGGCAAAUUGACCCCGUACGUUAGCAAUAAGGGGUGCUCGAAAGAGCCGCAGUGAAUAGGCCCUAGCAACUGUUUAACUAAAACAUAGCUCUCUGCGAAGUCGCAAGACGAAGUAUAGGGGGUGACACCUGCCCGGUGCUGGAAGGUCAAGGGGAUUUGUCAGACGCAAGUCGAAGCAUUGAACCGAAGCCCCAGUGAACGGCGGCCGUAACUAUAACGGUCCUAAGGUAGCGAAAUUCCUUGUCGGGUAAG
RNAcentral lists this ribosomal RNA (1953 nucleotides) under human oral metagenome. Its description in RNAcentral is "bacterial LSU rRNA". It matches the Rfam family "Bacterial large subunit ribosomal RNA", at positions 1 to 1980 of the family's 2925-position model. The record is from RNAcentral.